This 622-nucleotide ribosomal RNA is filed under the name uncultured bacterium. Its description in RNAcentral is "bacterial SSU rRNA". The stretch from base 1 to 526 matches the Rfam family "Bacterial small subunit ribosomal RNA", at positions 338 to 873 of the family's 1533-position model. The record is from RNAcentral.
CCUACGGGAGGCAGCAGUGGGGAAUAUUGGGCAAUGGAGGAAACUCUGACCCAGCGACGCCGCGUGCGGGAUGAAGGCCUUCGGGUUGUAAACCGCUUUCAGUAGGGAAGAAGCGAAAGUGACGGUACCUACAAAAGAAGCACCGGCUAACUAUGUGCCAGCAGCCGCGGUAAUACAUAGGGUGCAAGCGUUGUCCGGAAUUAUUGGGCGUAAAGAGCUCGUAGGUCGUUUGUUACGUCGGAUGUGAAAACCUGAGGCUCAACCUCAGGCCUGCAUUCGAUACGGGCAAACUAGAGUUUGGUAGGGGAGACUGGAAUUCCUGGUGUAGCGGUGGAAUGCGCAGAUAUCAGGAGGAACACCAAUGGCGAAGGCAGGUCUCUGGGCCAAUACUGACACUGAGGAGCGAAAGUCUAGGGGAGCGAACAGGAUUAGAUACCCUGGUAGUCCAGACCGUAAACGGUGGGCACUAGUUGUGGGAACCUUCCACGGUUUCUGCGACGCACGACUACGACAUAGUACGCCCGCCGUCGGGUAGGUACGACGUACGCGAACGAAGUAAACUAACAAACGAAGUUAGUACGGCGUGAGACGUACGACGACGGACGACGACGAGGGAGGUAGG